RNAcentral lists this long non-coding RNA (442 nucleotides) under Coturnix japonica (Japanese quail). Its description in RNAcentral is "lncRNA (ENSCJPG00005008641.1)". Lineage: Eukaryota; Metazoa; Chordata; Aves; Galliformes; Phasianidae. The record is from RNAcentral.
UGCCUCUCUUUAGCUCCUGCCUGCCAUAGGAAGACAUGUACUGUCUUACUAGCAAAGUAUUUGUGCUAGAAUAUGGAUUUAAUAACAAGCUGAUAGCUGAAGUGAUUUAGAUAAAUAAAAGGCUAUGACACCUGUGGAGCUGGGGAGCCCCAAGAGGCGCUGAAAUGGAUGGCUUUCUAAAGUGAAGCUCCAGUACCAAGAAGUGGGAAACACUGCUUUCCAUGAGAGAGAAAAAUGAAAGAUUCCAGGAAUGGCGGUGACAAAGGACAGGUUUGCUUCCCAGAACUAAUGAACCUGGAAAGUUGCCUGCACUCCAGGCCAGACCAGGCAAUGCUCCUUCAGGACGUUGGGUGUGAAAGGCUCGUUUGAGGAUGCCAAUUGGAAGAACUGUCAAUGAGACAUUUGUUCAUGAGCUAUAUUAAAUGGCUGCAAUAAAAUAACU